Molecule: ribosomal RNA, 1618 nt
Filed under: Nonionellina labradorica
Lineage: Eukaryota; Foraminifera; Rotaliida; Nonionidae
Description: SSU rRNA
Rfam family: Eukaryotic small subunit ribosomal RNA
Source: RNAcentral
CCGCGGUAAUACCAGCUCCACUGGCCUAUACAAUCAUUGUUGCGGUUAAGAGGCUCGUAGUUGGAUUGAACUGCCAUGAAGAAUGAAUCUUAACACCUUUCUACUCUUUGUGUCAACAGUUUUACGUAUAUGUUUUGGGCUUAUAGUUCAUUUCAUAUACGUUCGACGCUGUUAUAAGAAUUUUGCUUACGCAUAUACGAUUUUUACACGGCACGUUAGCAUACACGCGUAUAUACAACCUUACACAUACACACCCACAUUUCGUUGUAUAUACCGUGUGUGACACACGCAGCACUUAAUUUCAGAAAUGUCUUUUCGUUUGCAUUUGUGUGUGAGACACACUUUGGAGCAUUUAUUCUCAUUUCAACACUGUGAACAAAUCAGAGUGUAUCAAACAUGUCGUUUUUGAAUGUGCAUUGAAUGUCUUAUCAUGGGAUGUUGCGCACUUUCAGCCUUUUAGAAAGAAGCCUCUCAGCUUUUUUCUCUCUCUCACUAUCACACAUACACACACACACACACACACAUCGUGAGGAGGCAAAUACUAUAAGCGUAUCUUUUUUUCUAAAACGGUUAAAAAUGUCGAUGGGGAUAGUUGGAGUCAACAGUACUGCUGGGCGAGAGGUGAAAUUCAUUGACCCUAGCAAGACUACCAAAAGCGAAAGCAGUUGGCUAGGCUAUACUCUUUGUGAUUGUAUUACGCUAUUAGUAUCUCUCACAUACACACACACACACACACACAUGUGGUAACACUAAUUAUGCGUAUAUACAUUACACUUUACAAUGAAGAACGAAGGUUGGGGGAUCAAAGAGGAUCAGAUACCCUCGUCGUCCCAUUUUUUACAUCAAACGAUGGGCUCUCAAUUGCAAUUUCUAUAUAGAAUUGUAAAUUUCCUCAACCUGCAAAAUAACUUGGCUUGAGCUCGUAUCAUUCUUGAUACGCUCGCCUCACUUUUUUCGUACGGUCUCGACGGACGUUUCAUUUUAUCAUUUUCUUUGCGUGUAAGCAUUAUGUAUUUAUUCCUUGAAACAUAGGAAUUACAUUGCGUGCACUUGAUUUUCGGAGCUUUGCGCUCAAAUUUCUGGUGAGAUGUAAGCACUGUGUUUCUCUGCCCGCAGCGUAUGACUAUCGGUCAUUUCGUUCUGUCGUUUGGUAGUUUAACAAUCUUGGUGUGAAGCACGCUUUAGGCACGCGCUUACUGCAGAAAUGUCUGAGACAUUCCCCUCCGGGGGUAGUAUGCACGCAAGUGUGAAACUUGAAGGAAUUGACGGAAGGGCACCACAAGAACGCGUGGAGCAUGUGGCUUAAUUUGACUCAACGCGGGAAAUCUUACCGGGUCCGGACACACUGAGGAUUGACAGGCAAUAUUAAAUACUACUACUAUACUCGUAUAUGUGCUGUAUUUAUGUUAAAUAUGCUAGUCCUUUCAUGAUUAUGUGAUAGGUGGUGCAUGGCCGUUCUUAGUUCGUGGAGUGAUCUGUCUGCUUAAUUGCGUUUCACUAAGGGCCUAUACAUUUACGUGUGUUGCGGCACUUUGACCCCUCUUAUUCACGUAAGAGCGCGUGUCUUAGUUUUUGCUUAGCUCGCACAAUUAGGUCCUGAAAGCAACGAACGUGACCG